This is a non-coding RNA of Caretta caretta (loggerhead turtle), 1644 nucleotides long. The record is from RefSeq and is a predicted model, not a curated record. NCBI's taxonomy places the organism in Eukaryota, Metazoa, Chordata, Testudines, Cheloniidae.
AUAUAAUUUAACAAAAAAUAUAGGAUUGUAAAAGGAAUGACCGCAUCUUUAUCUGUGACUGCUGUUUCCAUGAAUUAAUACAGAUGCUUAAAAAAAUUAACAGCUCAUAAAUAAAUAGGUGACGAGGUGUGGAAGGCAGUUUCCUAUAAAAUCCAAUUCUAGAUCUAAAAAUAUUGCUAUCACCAAAAAAUUACCAGUUCACCAAAUUGAUGAGUUGAACAAACAAAAGUGCCUGCUCUGUUUUUCUCCAGAAGUGCAGAAAUACGUUUAAAUUGCUCUGUUUUGUGACAAACAAGCUGGUUUCGCUUUCUUUCUGGAAUGGGCGGGGGACAGGGGGAGUGAGUCAAACACUUCCCUGUCUUAUGCUUAUGAUACAUACAAUAGGGAAUAUCAAAAUACAGCAGCCUAAGGGUGCACCACAUCUUGCGGGGUAAGGAGAAGGCAGCAGACGGUUAGUCUGUGUGUUGAGGAAGGAUAGAAUCAAGGAAUCCUAACGGUCUCUAUGCUGUAAAGGCACUUUCCUUCCUGCUCCCCCUCUGUACGCUAACUGGGCUGAUAACUCAGGAAUGCUGUCUACAACCCUUCCUCACAGUGCUUGAAACAACGCAGGAGUCCUCGUUGCAAGUGCUUGACCCCUCUCCCUCCCAUAGAGCAAGGCAAGGAGUCCUGGCUGCCUGAGUCUCUCUUUGCAUCAACAUCGCCCUCCAACCCUCUGCAGCUUCUCUGCACUUACUUUCAAAAGAGGUAUCUCUGGCUUGCUUAGCUGUUGCAGAAUGAAGAGAGGAUUUGCCUCGUGCUGCAUCGCUCUGUGUGCAACUGUGAUAAUCUGGGGGGCAGAAUGUUUUAUCCACCUUCCUGUAUAUUCAGUUGACAUUCCCAUAGCCCCAGCACUUGCAACAGCCGUACCAUCAAAGACAGGGCCUCUAUUUAUUGCUGACAGGCUGGUCAACCUGAAGGUGAGGGUGGCGGAAAAGGAAGACUUAGGAGGACAAGUUUACAGAACUCAUGCCUGAGUCAUGGAGGAAAGCCAGGCUGGCUGACAGGUGGAAGCUGUACCUGAUGACCAAGAGAGAGAAAGAAAUGUAACUGUCCCAGGAGAUCAUGGCAAUGGCCAAGGACUGUGUCAUAGUAGCCAGGAAAACUGACUGUGGCUAAGGACAGCAUCGCCAUGACACAGGAGAGCAUGGAAAAAGACUGAGAGAUGUAGAGGCAACUCAUGGACAUUGUGCUGAGCCAGAAUGCCCUCCUGCAAAAGAAAUCCUUGCUAGGCCAAUAGGCCCUGCAAUCCCAUAAUUUGGGAUCCAGCCAUGUCCUUCAUCCCCUGGACAGUGCUGGCUACUGGGACCAGCAGGAACUCCUAACCAUCACAUCCCCGCAGCAGUACUCCCAGCAGCUCCCGUUCAUCUCCCAGAUCCAAGCUUGGCACAAAGAAUACUUGCCUCUGGGAAUCCAGCUGUUUUGUGGCCUGCAAUGCCCCUGAGAUUUUUGAUCUGCGGCACUCAGCCCCAAAACCUUGAGGACAAGGUUUAUAUUCACCUGUAACUUUAACCCCCUCCCAAAAUUGUUGUAUUUGAAAUAUUUUUACUGUUGCACUUUCAAUUCUGUUUGCACUGUUCCAUUCAUUAAAGAUUUGUGCAUAGUUUA